CCUACGGGGGGCAGCAGUGAGGAAUAUUGGUCAAUGGACGAGAGUCUGAACCAGCCAAGUAGCGUGAAGGAUGACUGCCCUAUGGGUUGUAAACUUCUUUUAUAAAGGAAUAAAACGAGGCACGUGUGCAUUUUUGCAUGUCCUUUAUGAAUAAGGAUCGGCUAAGUCCGUGCCAGCAGCCGCGGUAAUACGGAGGAACCGAGCGUUAUCCGGAUUUAUUGGGUUUAAAGGGAGCGUAGAUGGGUUGUUAAGUCAGUUGUGAAAGUUUGCGGCUCAACCGUAAAAUUGCAAUUGAUACUGGCAGUCUUGAGUACGGGUGAGGUAGGCGGAAUUCGUGGUGUAGCGGUGAAAUGCUUAGAUAUCACGAAGAACCCCGAUUGCGAAGGCAGCUUACUAAACUGUGACUGACAUUGAUGCGCGAAAGUGUGGGUAUCAAACAGGAUUAGAUACCCUUGUAGUC
Molecule: ribosomal RNA, 460 nt
Filed under: uncultured bacterium
Lineage: Bacteria
Description: partial 16S ribosomal RNA
Rfam family: Bacterial small subunit ribosomal RNA
Source: RNAcentral